RNAcentral lists this ribosomal RNA (253 nucleotides) under uncultured bacterium. Its description in RNAcentral is "partial 16S ribosomal RNA". It matches the Rfam family "Bacterial small subunit ribosomal RNA", at positions 524 to 776 of the family's 1533-position model. The record is from RNAcentral.
UACGGGGGGGGCAAGCGUUGUUCGGAAUUACUGGGCGUAAAGGGCGCGUAGGCGGUCUGCUAAGUUGGAUGUGAAAACUCUGGGCUUAACCCAGAGCCUGCAUCCAAAACUGGCAAACUUGAGUACUGGAGGGGAAAGCGGAAUUCCUGGUGUAGCGGUGAAAUGCGUAGAUAUCAGGAGGAACACCGGUGGCGAAGGCGGCUUUCUGGACAGUAACUGACGCUGAGGCGCGAAAGCUAGGGGAGCAAACAGG